AACGAACGCUGGCGGCAGGCCUAACACAUGCAAGUCGAGCGCCCUUUCGGGGGAGCGGCGGACGGGUGAGUAACGCGUGGGAAUAUGCCCUUCUCUGCGGAAUAGCCUCGGGAAACUGAGAGUAAUACCGUAUACGCCCUACGGGGGAAAGAAUUAUCGGGGAAGGAUUAGCCCGCGUUGGAUUAGGUAGUUGGUGGGGUAAUGGCCUACCAAGCCGACGAUCCAUAGCUGGUUUGAGAGGAUGAUCAGCCACACUGGGACUGAGACACGGCCCAGACUCCUACGGGAGGCAGCAGUGGGGAAUCUUAGACAAUGGGGGCAACCCUGAUCUAGCCAUGCCGCGUGAGUGAUGAAGGCCUUAGGGUCGUAAAGCUCUUUCAGCUGGGAAGAUAAUGACGGUACCAGCAGAAGAAGCCCCGGCUAACUCCGUGCCAGCCGCCGCAGUAA
This 447-nucleotide ribosomal RNA is filed under the name uncultured bacterium. RNAcentral's name for it is "partial 16S ribosomal RNA". It matches the Rfam family "Bacterial small subunit ribosomal RNA", at positions 29 to 523 of the family's 1533-position model. The record is from RNAcentral.